This 254-nucleotide ribosomal RNA is filed under the name uncultured bacterium. Its description in RNAcentral is "partial 16S ribosomal RNA". It matches the Rfam family "Bacterial small subunit ribosomal RNA", at positions 524 to 776 of the family's 1533-position model. The record is from RNAcentral.
CACGUAGGGUGCGAGCGUUGUCCGGAAUUAUUGGGCGUAAAGGGCUCGUAGGCGGUGUGUCGCGUCGGCCGUGAAAACCUGCAGCUUAACUGUGGGCUUGCGGUCGAUACGGGCAUCACUGGAGUUCGGCAGGGGAGACUGGAAUUCCUGGUGUAGCGGUGAAAUGCGCAGAUAUCAGGAGGAACACCGGUGGCGAAGGCGGGUCUCUGGGCCGAUACUGACGCUGAGGAGCGAAAGCGUGGGGAGCGAACAGG